CGCAUUAGCUAGUUGGUGAGGUAACGGCUCACCAAGGCAACGAUGCGUAGCCGACCUGAGAGGGUGAUCGGCCACACUGGGACUGAGACACGGCCCAGACUCCUACGGGAGGCAGCAGUAGGGAAUCUUCCGCAAUGGACGAAAGUCUGACGGAGCAACGCCGCGUGAGUGAUGAAGGUUUUCGGAUCGUAAAACUCUGUUGUUAGGGAAGAACAAGUACGAGAGUAACUGCUCGUACCUUGACGGUACCUAACCAGAAAGCCACGGCUAACUACGUGCCAGCAGCCGCGGUAAUACGUAGGUGGCAAGCGUUGUCCGGAAUUAUUGGGCGUAAAGCGCGCGCAGGCGGUCCUUUAAGUCUGAUGUGAAAGCCCACGGCUCAACCGUGGAGGGUCAUUGGAAACUGGGGGACUUGAGUACAGAAGAGAAGAGUGGAAUUCCACGUGUAGCGGUGAAAUGCGUAGAGAUGUGGAGGAACACCAGUGGCGAAGGCGAUCUUUGGUCUGUAACUGACGCUGAGGCGCGAAAGC
Molecule: ribosomal RNA, 530 nt
Filed under: uncultured soil bacterium S0232
Lineage: Bacteria
Description: bacterial SSU rRNA
Rfam family: Bacterial small subunit ribosomal RNA
Source: RNAcentral